Molecule: ribosomal RNA, 404 nt
Filed under: uncultured Sphingomonas sp.
Lineage: Bacteria; Pseudomonadati; Pseudomonadota; Alphaproteobacteria; Sphingomonadales; Sphingomonadaceae
Description: bacterial SSU rRNA
Rfam family: Bacterial small subunit ribosomal RNA
Source: RNAcentral
CCUACGGGAGGCAGCAGUGAGGAAUAUUGGUCAAUGGGCGAGAGCCUGAACCAGCCAAGUAGCGUGCAGGAUGACGGCCUUAUGGGUUGUAAACUGCUUUUAUGCGAGGAUAAAGUUACCCACGUGUGGGUGUUUGCAGGUAUCGCAUGAAUAAGGACCGGCUAAUUCCGUGCCAGCAGCCGCGGUAAUACGGAAGGUUCUGGCGUUAUCCGGAUUUAUUGGGUUUAAAGGGAGCGUAGGCUGUUUUUUAAGCGUGUUGUGAAAUGUACCGGCUCAACCGGUGAUGUGCAGCGCGAACUGGAAGACUUGAGUGUGUUGUAAGUAGGCGGAAUUCGUGGUGUAGCGGUGAAAUGCUUAGAUAUCACGAGGAACUCCGAUUGCGUAGGCAGCUUACUGUCUCACUA